AGUGAACGCUGGCGGUAGGCCUAACACAUGCAAGUCGAACGGCAGCACAGUAAGAGCUUGCUCUUACGGGUGGCGAGUGGCGGACGGGUGAGGAAUACAUCGGAAUCUACUUUUUCGUGGGGGAUAACGUAGGGAAACUUACGCUAAUACCGCAUACGACCUACGGGUGAAAGCAGGGGAUCUUCGGACCUUGCGCGAUUGAAUGAGCCGAUGUCGGAUUAGCUAGUUGGCGGGGUAAAGGCCCACCAAGGCGACGAUCCGUAGCUGGUCUGAGAGGAUGAUCAGCCACACUGGAACUGAGACACAGUCCAGACACCGACGGGAGGCAGCAGUGGGGAAUAUUGGACAAUGGGCGCAAGCCUGAUCCAGCCAUACCGCGUGGGUGAAGAAGGCCUUCGGGUUGUAAAGCCCUUUUGUUGGGAAAGAAAAGCAGCAGGUUAAUACCCCGCUGUUCUGACGGUACCCAAAGAAUAAGCACCGGCUAACUUCGUG
RNAcentral lists this ribosomal RNA (492 nucleotides) under uncultured bacterium. RNAcentral describes it as "partial 16S ribosomal RNA". It matches the Rfam family "Bacterial small subunit ribosomal RNA", at positions 29 to 507 of the family's 1533-position model. The record is from RNAcentral.